GAUGAACGCUGGCGGCGUGCCUAAUACAUGCAAGUCGAACGAGUUCUGAUUAUUGAAAGGUGCUUGCAUCUUGAUUUAAUUUUGAACGAGUGGCGGACGGGUGAGUAACACGUGGGUAACCUGCCCUUAAGUGGGGGAUAACAUUUGGAAACAGAUGCUAAUACCGCAUAAAUCCAAGAACCGCAUGGUUCUUGGCUGAAAGAUGGCGUAAGCUAUCGCUUUUGGAUGGACCCGCGGCGUAUUAGCUAGUUGGUGAGGUAACGGCUCACCAAGGCAAUGAUACGUAGCCGAACUGAGAGGUUGAUCGGCCACAUUGGGACUGAGACACGGCCCAAACUCCUACGGGAGGCAGCAGUAGGGAAUCUUCCACAAUGGACGCAAGUCUGAUGGAGCAACGCCGCGUGAGUGAAGAAGGCUUUCGGGUCGUAAAACUCUGUUGUUGGAGAAGAAUGGUCGGCAGAGUAACUGUUGUCGGCGUGACGGUAUCCAACCAGAAAGCCACGGCUAACUACGUGCCAGCAGCCGCGGUAAUACGUAGGUGGCAAGCGUUAUCCGGAUUUAUUGGGCGUAAAGCGAGCGCAGGCGGUUUUUUAAGUCUGAUGUGAAAGCCCUCGGCUUAACCGAGGAAGUGCAUCGGAAACUGGGAAACUUGAGUGCAGAAGAGGACAGUGGAACUCCAUGUGUAGCGGUGAAAUGCGUAGAUAUAUGGAAGAACACCAGUGGCGAAGGCGGCUGUCUGGUCUGUAACUGACGCUGAGGCUCGAAAGCAUGGGUAGCGAACAGGAUUAGAUACCCUGGUAGUCCAUGCCGUAAACGAUGAAUGCUAGGUGUUGGAGGGUUUCCGCCCUUCAGUGCCGCAGCUAACGCAUUAAGCAUUCCGCCUGGGGAGUACGACCGCAAGGUUGAAACUCAAAGGAAUUGACGGGGGCCCGCACAAGCGGUGGAGCAUGUGGUUUAAUUCGAAGCAACGCGAAGAACCUUACCAGGUCUUGACAUCUUUUGAUCACCUGAGAGAUCAGGUUUCCCCUUCGGGGGCAAAAUGACAGGUGGUGCAUGGUUGUCGUCAGCUCGUGUCGUGAGAUGUUGGGUUAAGUCCCGCAACGAGCGCAACCCUUAUGACUAGUUGCCAGCAUUUAGUUGGGCACUCUAGUAAGACUGCCGGUGACAAACCGGAGGAAGGUGGGGAUGACGUCAAAUCAUCAUGCCCCUUAUGACCUGGGCUACACACGUGCUACAAUGGAUGGUACAACGAGUUGCGAGACCGCGAGGUCAAGCUAAUCUCUUAAAGCCAUUCUCAGUUCGGACUGUAGGCUGCAACUCGCCUACACGAAGUCGGAAUCGCUAGUAAUCGCGGAUCAGCACGCCGCGGUGAAUACGUUCCCGGGCCUUGUACACACCGCCCGUCACACCAUGAGAGUUUGUAACACCCGAAGCCGGUGGCGUAACCCUUUUAGGGAGCGAGCCGUCUAAGGUGGGACAAAUGAUUAGGGUGAAGUCGAAAAGGGGGUAACCA
This 1513-nucleotide ribosomal RNA is filed under the name Lacticaseibacillus rhamnosus. RNAcentral's name for it is "bacterial SSU rRNA". It matches the Rfam family "Bacterial small subunit ribosomal RNA". The record is from RNAcentral. Lineage: Bacteria; Bacillati; Bacillota; Bacilli; Lactobacillales; Lactobacillaceae.